Molecule: long non-coding RNA, 1486 nt
Filed under: Phoenix dactylifera (date palm)
Lineage: Eukaryota; Viridiplantae; Streptophyta; Magnoliopsida; Arecales; Arecaceae
Description: long non-coding RNA (PDAC_LNC002630)
Source: RNAcentral
CCUUACUCUUGAAUUUGUUACAAAAUUUUAUAGUGAAAAUGCUCUCGUUCUGACUAGAGUCCUAGUUUUGUUUCACUUUUUGCGUAGGUAUGAACUUUGUUGAGUGAGGGUGUUUAAUUUUUAAAUAAAAUUUUUAAAAUAUUUUGUACUUAUUAAAAUUUUUUCAUCAAUUUUUUUUAAAAAAAAAUCUUUCAGUGAGUUCAUCUUAGGCCCCCAAAUGCGUUGGGUUGCCCCUACUGGAAAGUUUCGUUUCCCCUUCUCCUUUUCCUUCCCCUGCGGGUCUAAGGGGGUGGCGGUCAUGGUGGCUCGGUCCCCAAUCGACGACGGCCGGAGCCUCGGCCAAACCGACGGCAGGUGGUGGCAGGAUAGCAGUAAAAGGACACCGAAACAUGGCACCCUUGUUUCAACAACUUUCCGGUGAUUCGCCGGCUUCAAUCAUGGCGAACGAAGGCUAAAACAUGGCUAGAAGAAAGAGAAGAAGAUGGAGGAUCCUUACCUCGGUCUGGCGAGACGUUGACCUUUUUCAGUGGAAAUCGGAGGAAGAACUCGGAAAGAAAACUCAAAAUUUGAGUGUUUUCUUGCCCGUUCUUCGAUGGAACUCAAAGAAAGAGGAUGUGGGAUCUUAAAUAGGCCGAGAUCUCUUGUUUUCCGGUGUUUGGAUCACCCUGAAGCACUAGGUUUCAUGCUUGAUCGGGAUCGGAUGAGGGGAGGAAAGAGACUCCCAGCCGAAGUUUUCUCCUCUCUCAUGUGCCACACAUGCGAUUUUUGAGCCUGGCCUCUUUGGGCCGGCGUAAUCACGAUCGGAUGAGGGAAGGAAGGAGACACCCAGUCGAAGUCUUCCUCCUCCUCUCUCACUUCACUUGCUGCGCAUAUGAGUCUUGGGCCUGUGCUCCUGGCCCGGGCCAAUAGCUUUUGGGCUGCUACAGAAUAUACUGAUGUGUAGGAUCGUAAGUAUGAUUUCUAACAUCCCAAGUUUUCUGUAAGUAUGUACAAUAGGAACUCCAGUGAUGGCUGGCUAGCUCCACGCUGCCGUUCGGCUUCGCUACAAAAUGUGCGAUCUACGUCAUCCAACUAUUCUUCUGAGAAUAUACAUCAUGAGGUACGAUUUUUUUUUCUUCUUUCCACCUUUGAUGUUUAAGGCCAGUGAGUACCGGGAAAUUGCUCAUCUUUUAUUAUUCUUCGUAAGUUUCCUUAUGUGCAGUACUUUCCAAGGCUGACCGAACUUUAAUUUUUCUUUAGAAAAUAGAAAAUAUAAAAUAUAAAAUAAAAAAAAAAACCUUCAGGUCUAAGUGUGGCCCAAAGUCUGAAAAAAACUUUCAGACCGACUGCAGAUAGAGGCAUGACCCGGCACAGCCUCCUUGUCAAUGUGGGUGCUAACGAAGGGAGAGAUCUCGUUGGGGAAAGAAGGGCAGAGAAAUGAGGAGAGGGUGGUGUUGAAGGGGAAGCCCUCAAAGUUUGAAAGGAUCCCAGGAGUCGAAGCUCCAUU